UCAUUUUGCUCAGUGCAGAGUGGCCAAAAGCAAGUUGUAUUGGGAAAAAGAGAAAAAGAGAGGAGAGAAAGAAGGAAAGAAAAGAGAAAGAGAAAAAAAGGGAAGAAAAAAAACGAAAAAAAAAAAAGAGAAGAAAAAGAGAAAGAAAAAGAAAGGAGAAAAAAAAAGGCGGUGGGGGAAGGAAACAAAUCAAAAAGCAAAACAAAACAAAAAAACAAACAAACAAAAAAAAAAAAAGAAAAGAAAAGAACCAUCGGGGAGUAUCUUCUGAUUCUGUGUACUUUAAGUCCCUUGGCUUCUCCUGGAAGUUGUCAGUCUAGCUGGUGUUCUGGGGGAGGGGCCUGUUGUGCUGAUUUUCAGGUGUUAGCAGUUGGGGGAGCUGCUCUGCCCCUGCCUGGUGCAGGGCUCAGUGGGGGUUGUUCACCCCGUGAGGCCGCAGGAGGAACAGCCCCAGUGGCGGGGCAGCUCUGGAAACCUGGAUUCAGCUCCGGCAGGAACUCCGUCUGCAGGGCCUGGAGGCUCCGGGGCGGGGCCGCUGAUCUGCUCAUCUGGGGCAGGAGCGUCCUCGCUGUCCUGGGCCCUCCAGGCCUCUGCCUGUCCCGGGGGAGGCCGGAUCCUGGGCUGUGUCCCGGCGCCCUGUGCUCUGGAGCCUGCGCUGUUGGAUUCGCGCUCCCGCCCCGCAGCCCCCUCCGCGGAGCUGCCGCCCGAGCCCCUCCGAGCUGCUCCUGGAACCGCGCAGGCCCCUCCGCACGGAGCCUCUUCCUCUGCCCGAGCCCCUCCGAGCUGCUCCGGGUCCCGUCGGGUCCCGCCGUGCGCGCUGCAGCCCUUAGGGAGCUCGGCGCACUCUCCGGGGCGCAGGUGCCUGUUAGGUGCCCCGGCCUCAGCCCGGCUCCUCGCGGGGCCUCUCCCCCUUGGAGGCCUUUGUUUCUUUAUUUCUUUUUCCCCCGUCUUCCUACCUUGAUAGAAGCGCGAACUCUUCUCACUGUCGCAUUCCAGGUGGUCUCUCUUUAA
Molecule: long non-coding RNA, 1011 nt
Filed under: Canis lupus dingo (dingo)
Lineage: Eukaryota; Metazoa; Chordata; Mammalia; Carnivora; Canidae
Description: lncRNA (ENSCAFG00020011463.1)
Rfam family: mir-8799 microRNA precursor family (bases 601-689)
Source: RNAcentral